GAUGAACGCUGGCGGCGUGCCUAAUACAUGCAAGUCGAGCGAACAGACGAGGAGCUUGCUCCUCUGACGUUAGCGGCGGACGGGUGAGUAACACGUGGAUAACCUACCUAUAAGACUGGGAUAACUUCGGGAAACCGGAGCUAAUACCGGAUAACAUGUUGAACCGCAUGGUUCAACAGUGAAAGACGGUCUUGCUGUCAC
This 201-nucleotide ribosomal RNA is filed under the name uncultured Staphylococcus sp. RNAcentral's name for it is "partial 16S ribosomal RNA". It matches the Rfam family "Bacterial small subunit ribosomal RNA", at positions 28 to 218 of the family's 1533-position model. Lineage: Bacteria; Bacillati; Bacillota; Bacilli; Caryophanales; Staphylococcaceae. The record is from RNAcentral.